This 565-nucleotide ribosomal RNA is filed under the name uncultured bacterium. Its description in RNAcentral is "partial 16S ribosomal RNA". It matches the Rfam family "Bacterial small subunit ribosomal RNA", at positions 355 to 914 of the family's 1533-position model. The record is from RNAcentral.
UGGGGAAUUUUGGACAAUGGGGAAACCCUGAUCCAGCCAUCCCGCGUGUGCGAUGAAGGCCUUCGGGUUGUAAAGCACUUUUGGCAGGAAAGAAAUGUCGCGGGUUAAUACCCGCGAAACUGACGGUACCUGCAGAAUAAGCACCGGCUAACUACGUGCCAGCAGCCGCGGUAAUACGUAGGGUGCAAGCGUUAAUCGGAAUUACUGGGCGUAAAGCGUGCGCAGGCGGUUCGGAAAGAAAGAUGUGAAAUCCCAGAGCUUAACUUUGGGAACUGCAUUUUUAACUACCGGGCUAGAGUGUGUCAGAGGGAGGUGGAAUUCCGCGUGUAGCAGUGAAAUGCGUAGAUAUGCGGAGGAACACCGAUGGCGAAGGCAGCCUCCUGGGAUAACACUGACGCUCAUGCACGAAAGCGUGGGGAGCAAACAGGAUUAGAUACCCUGGUAGUCCACGCCCUAAACGAUGUCAACUAGCUGUUGGGGCCUUCGGGCCUUGGUAGCGCAGCUAACGCGUGAAGUUGACCGCCUGGGGAGUACGGUCGCAAGAUUAAAACUUAAAUGAAUUGAC